GGAUCCAUGGUGCAGCGGUGAACACGUCUGCUUUACAUGCGGAAGGUCCCGGGUUCGCGCCCCAGUGGAGCCA
RNAcentral lists this transfer RNA (73 nucleotides) under Pteropus alecto (black flying fox). It matches the Rfam family "tRNA". Rfam says of the family: Transfer RNA (tRNA) molecules are approximately 80 nucleotides in length. Their secondary structure includes four short double-helical elements and three loops (D, anti-codon, and T loops). Further hydrogen bonds mediate the characteristic L-shaped molecular structure. tRNAs have two regions of fundamental functional importance: the anti-codon, which is responsible for specific mRNA codon recognition, and the 3' end, to which the tRNAs corresponding amino acid is attached (by aminoacyl-tRNA synthetases). tRNAs cope with the degeneracy of the genetic code in two manners: having more than one tRNA (with a specific anti-codon) for a particular amino acid; and 'wobble' base-pairing, i.e. permitting non-standard base-pairing at the 3rd anti-codon position. The record is from Rfam by way of RNAcentral. Lineage: Eukaryota; Metazoa; Chordata; Mammalia; Chiroptera; Pteropodidae.